This 261-nucleotide ribosomal RNA is filed under the name uncultured bacterium. Its description in RNAcentral is "partial 16S ribosomal RNA". It matches the Rfam family "Bacterial small subunit ribosomal RNA", at positions 793 to 1055 of the family's 1533-position model. The record is from RNAcentral.
GUCCACGCCCUAAACGAUGUCAACUGGUUGUUGGACGGCUUGCUGUUCAGUAACGAAGCUAACGCGUGAAGUUGACCGCCUGGGAGUACGGCCGCAAGGUUGAAACUCAAAGGAAUUGACGGGACCCGCACAAGCGGUGGAUGAUGUGGUUUAAUUCGAUGCAACGCGAAAACCUUACCUACCCUUGACAUGUCAAGAAUUUUGCAGAGAUGUGGAAGUGCUCGAAAGAGAACUUGAACACAGGUGCUGCAUGGCCGUCGU